CAGGCUUAACACAUGCAAGUCGAGGGGCAGCAUGGUCUUAGCUUGCUAAGGCCGAUGGCGACCGGCGCACGGGUGAGUAACGCGUAUCCAACCUGCCUUACACUCUUGGACAGCCUUCUGAAAGGGAGAUUAAUACAAGAUGUUAUCAUGAGUAAGCAUUUUCGCAUGAUUAAAGGUUUACCGGUGUAAGAUGGGGAUGCGUUCCAUUAGAUAGUAGGCGGGGUAACGGCCCACCUAGUCUUCGAUGGAUAGGGGUUCUGAGAGGAAGGUCCCCCACAUUGGAACUGAGACACGGUCCAAACUCCUACGGGAGGCAGCAGUGAGGAAUAUUGGUCAAUGGACGAGAGUCUGAACCAGCCAAGUAGCGUGAAGGAUGAAGGUUCUAUGGAUUGUAAACUUCUUUUAUACGGGAAUAAACGAAUCCACGUGUGGAUUUUUGCAUGUACCGUAUGAAUAAGGAUCGGCUAACUCCGUGCCAGCAGCCGCGGUAAUACGGAGGAUCCGAGCGUUAUCCGGAUUUAUCGGGUUUAAAGGGAGCGUAGAUGGGUUGUUAAGUCAGUUGUGAAAGUUUGCGGCUCAACCGUAAAAUUGCAAUUGAUACUGGCAGUCUUGAGUACAGUUGAGGUAGGCGGAAUUCGUGGUGUAGCGGUGAAAUGCUUAGAUAUCACGAAGAACUCCGAUUGCGAAGGCAGCUUACUAACCUGUAACUGACAUUGAUGCUCGAAAGUGUGGGUAUCAAACAGGAUUAGAUACCCUGGUAGUCCACACGGUAAACGAUGAAUACUCGCUGUAGGCGAUAUACAGUCUGCGGCCAAGCGAAAGCAUUAAGUAUUCCACCUGGGGAGUACGCCGGCAACGGUGAAACUCAAAGGAAUUGACGGGGGCCCGCACAAGCGGAGGAACAUGUGGUUUAACUCGAUGAUACGCGAGGAACCUUACCCGGGCUUAAAUUGCAACCGAAUAUGGCGGAAACGCUAUAGCUAGCAAUAGCGGUUGUGAAGGUGCUGCAUGGUUGUCGUCAGCUCGUGCCGUGAGGUGUCGGCUUAAGUGCCAUAACGAGCGCAACCCUUGCCGAUAGUUACUAACAGGUCAUGCUGAGGACUCUGUCGGGACUGCCAUCGUAAGAUGUGAGGAAGGUGGGGAUGACGUCAAAUCAGCACGGCCCUUACGUCCGGGGCUACACACGUGUUACAAUGGGGGGGUACAGAGGGCUGCUACCACGCAAGUGGAUGCCAAUCCCAAAAACCUCUCUCAGUUCGGAUUGAAGUCUGCAACCCGACUUCAUGAAGCUGGAUUCGCUAGUAAUCGCGCAUCAGCCACGGCGCGGUGAAUACGUUCCCGGGCCUUGUACACACCGCCCGUCAAGCCAUGGGAGCCGGGGGUACCUGAAGUGCGUAACCGCAAGGAGCGCCCUAGGGUAAAACUGGUGACUGG
RNAcentral lists this ribosomal RNA (1434 nucleotides) under uncultured organism. Its description in RNAcentral is "16S ribosomal RNA". It matches the Rfam family "Bacterial small subunit ribosomal RNA". The record is from RNAcentral.